GACGAACGCUGGCGGCGUGCUUAACACAUGCAAGUCGAACGGAAAGGCCCUGCUUGCAGGGUACUCGAGUGGCGAACGGGUGAGUAACACGUGGGUGAUCUGCCCUGCACUUCGGGAUAAGCCUGGGAAACUGGGUCUAAUACCGGAUAGGAGCCAUUUUUAGUGUGAUGGUUGGAAAGUUUUUUCGGUGUAGGAUGAGCUCGCGGCCUAUCAGCUUGUUGGUGGGGUAAUGGCCUACCAAGGCGGCGACGGGUAGCCGGCCUGAGAGGGUGGACGGCCACAUUGGGACUUAGAGACGGCCCAGACUCCUACGGGAGGCAGCAGUGGGGAAUAUUGCACAAUGGGCGCAAGCCUGAUGCAGCGACGCCGCGGGGGGGAUGACGGCCUUCGGGUUGUAAACGCCUUUCGCUAGGGACGAAGCUUUUUGUGACGGUACCUAGAUAAGAAGCACCGGCUAACUACGUG
RNAcentral lists this ribosomal RNA (465 nucleotides) under uncultured bacterium. RNAcentral describes it as "partial 16S ribosomal RNA". It matches the Rfam family "Bacterial small subunit ribosomal RNA", at positions 28 to 507 of the family's 1533-position model. The record is from RNAcentral.